AUUCCUCUCACAUGCAUUCCUUUUUGUGCUUUAUGUGAUUCUGUUUUUGUUCUAAUGCAUGCAAUAGACUUCAUUUGAUAAACGCAAUAAUAGGAACUGGCUUCUAUGGUGUACGAGACAAGCUCAAGCACUACAAGGACACAAUGGGCAUUGUCUAAUGAGUUGUGGAAAUAGGGCAUACCAUUAAGUAUUAUAACCAUCAGAAGGUAAUGAUGGGGCAAAACUUCUCUAGGAAAGGACUUGCCAUCCCCUUCCAAUACAACUCGGCGUCACCGGGUAAGACGCUGAUACAUUACAAGGCAGAUCUCAGCUGAACUCUCCCUCCCCGCCCUGGAGUCCAAGCGUUUGUGGCCUACAUCCGUGAGCUCCAUGUCUCCGUCCCUCCAUCGAGCAGCGGCACACACACAAGGGGAUCAAGCCCAACCAAAUGGACGAUGCUCCUUCCUGCCACACCCCUGUGUCCCGUUCAGAUUACAGGUUGCAUGUAUGAAUAUCCAAGUGGGAUACUUGAUCUAUUUAGUGAAACAAGACGUGUUUAUAUAUGUCAAAAUGUCUGUUGGAGAGGCACAAAAGCGCAAAGGUCAAGAUGUGUAAGGAUUUAAUCAAGGAGACAACCCGGUAGAGCUAUCAAGUGUUAGGGUAUAGCCUAACUAAGUAGGUUUAUUAUCUCCCAUUGCAUCUCUCUUGAUCAAGACAUGCCAUGACCUGGUUUAUUGUAUUUGUUAUGUUAUAAUGGAUUGUCUUGGCUUUCUUUUGGACUAAAGCCUUUUGUAGUUGUCUGGAUCAAUUGCUAUGUACUGGAUGUGUAUGUAUCGAUGCAAUGCUUCUGAUAUAAACUUGAUAUAUUAGAUUGGUAAA
This is a long non-coding RNA of Aegilops tauschii subsp. strangulata, 858 nucleotides long. RefSeq lists it as uncharacterized. Lineage: Eukaryota; Viridiplantae; Streptophyta; Magnoliopsida; Poales; Poaceae. The record is from RefSeq and is a predicted model, not a curated record.